GAUGAACGCUGGCGGCAUGCCUAAUACAUGCAAGUCGAACGAAGUCUUUAGGAAGCUUGCUUCCAAAGAGACUUAGUGGCGAACGGGUGAGUAACACGUAGGUAACCUGCCCAUGUGCCCGGGAUAACUGCUGGAAACGGUAGCUAAAACCGGAUAGGUAUGAGGGAGGCAUCUUCCUCAUAUUAAAGCACCUUCGGGUGUGAACAUGGAUGGACCUGCGGCGCAUUAGCUGGUUGGUGAGGUAACGGCCCACCAAGGCGAUGAUGCGUAGCCGACCUGAGAGGGUGAACGGCCACAUUGGGACUGAGACACGGCCCAAACUCCUACGGGAGGCAGCAGUAGGGAAUUUUCGUCAAUGGGGGGAACCCUGAACGAGCAAUGCCGCGUGUGUGAAGAAGGUCUUCGGAUCGUAAAGCACUGUUGUAAGUGAAGAAUGCCAUAUAGAGGAAAUGCUAUGUGGGUGACGGUAGCUUACCAGAAAGCCACGGCUAACUACGUGCCAGCAGCCGCGGUAAUACGUAGGUGGCAAGCGUUAUCCGGAAUCAUUGGGCGUAAAGGGUGCGUAGGUGGCACGAUAAGUCUGAAGUAAAAGGCAACAGCUCAACUGUUGUAUGCUUUGGAAACUGUCGAGCUAGAGUGCAGAAGAGGGCGAUGGAAUUCCAUGUGUAGCGGUAAAAUGCGUAGAUAUAUGGAGGAACACCAGUGGCGAAGGCGGUCGCCUGGUCUGUAACUGACACUGAUGCACGAAAGCGUGGGGA
Molecule: ribosomal RNA, 758 nt
Filed under: uncultured Mollicutes bacterium
Lineage: Bacteria; Bacillati; Mycoplasmatota; Mollicutes
Description: bacterial SSU rRNA
Rfam family: Bacterial small subunit ribosomal RNA
Source: RNAcentral